Molecule: ribosomal RNA, 497 nt
Filed under: uncultured bacterium
Lineage: Bacteria
Description: partial 16S ribosomal RNA
Rfam family: Bacterial small subunit ribosomal RNA
Source: RNAcentral
GAUGAACGCUGGCGGCGUGCCUAAUACAUGCAAGUCGAGCGAACAGAUGAGGAGCUUGCUCCUCUGACGUUAGCGGCGGACGGGUGAGUAACACGUGUAUAACCUACCUAUAAGACUGGGAUAACUUCGGGAAACCGGAGCUAAUACCGGAUAAUCUAUUGAACCGCAUGGUUCAAUAGUGAAAGACGGUUUUGCUGUCACUUAUAGAUGGAUCCGCGCCGCAUUAGCUAGUUGGUAAGGUAACGGCUUACCAAGGCAGCGAUGCGUAGCCGACGUGAGAGGGUGAUCGGCCACACUGGAACUGAGACACGGUCCAGACUCCUACGGGAGGCAGCAGUAGGGAAUCGUACGCAAUGGGCGAAAGCCUGACGGAGCAACGCCGCGUGAGUUAUGAAGGUCUUCGGAUCGUAAAACUCUGUUAUUAGGGAAGAACAAAUGUGUAAGUAACUAUGCACGUCUUGACGGUACCUAAUCAGAAAGCCACGGCUAACUACGUG